GUAGUUAGCCGUGGCUUCCUCGUCAGGUACCGUCAAUACACCAGGCUAUUCGCAAGGUGCACCUUCGUCCCUGACAACAGAGUUUUACAGUCCGAAAACCUUCAUCACUCACGCGGCGUUGCUCCGUCAGACUUUCGUCCAUUGCGGAAGAUUCCCCACUGCUGCCUCCCGUAGGAGUCUGGACCGUGUCUCAGUUCCAGUGUGGCCGAUCAGCCUCUCAGCUCGGCUACCCAUCGUCGGCUUGGUGAGCCGUUACCUCACCAACUACCUAAUGGGACGCGAACCCCUCUUAAAGCGGAUUGCUCCUUUGACCUCAUCCCGAUGUCGGGUCGUGGUCUUAUGCGGUAUUAGCACUUGUUUCCAGGUGUUAUCCCCCUCUUCAAGGCAGGUUGUUCACGCGUUACUCACCCGUUCGCCACUAAGAUAAAACCGAAAUUCUAUCUCCGUUCGACUUGCAUGUGUUAGGCACGCCGCCAGCGUUCGUCCUGAGCAGANACAACUACUGA
Molecule: ribosomal RNA, 506 nt
Filed under: uncultured bacterium
Lineage: Bacteria
Description: partial 16S ribosomal RNA
Source: RNAcentral